Molecule: ribosomal RNA, 327 nt
Filed under: uncultured eukaryote
Lineage: Eukaryota
Description: partial 18S ribosomal RNA
Rfam family: Eukaryotic small subunit ribosomal RNA
Source: RNAcentral
CCCUUAGAUGUUCUGGGCCGCACACGCGCUACACUGAAGGAGGCAGCGUGUACUCCUGGAUCGAAAGAUUUGGGUAACCCGCGAAUCUCCUUCGUGCUAGGGAUUGAGGUUUGCAAUUAUCCUUCAUGAACGAGGAAUUCCCAGUAAGUGCAAGUCAUAAGCUUGCGCUGACUACGUCCCUGCCCUUUGUACACACCGCCCGUCGCUACUACCGAUUGAAUGAUUUAGUGAGGACUUCGGACUGGGACCGACGCGGCUUUCGGGCUGCGUCGGUAUUCUGGAAAGAUGUCCAAACUGUAUCAUUUAGAGGAAGUAAAANUCGUAACA